AUGGAUAGCUGUCCUUCGCUAAUUUGGAAUGUUAGAGGUUUGAACUCGGCUGCUAGGAGAGGUGUAGUUUGGAGAUUAGUGCAGCAGUUUAAUGUAUCGUUCGUGUGCUUUCAAGAGUCCAAGGUUUCAGAGGUUUCCAAAGAGUUUGUCACAGAGUGUUGUGGGCCUGCUUUCACCGAUUUCUGCUUCCAGUCGGCUGUUGGUACUCAGGGAGGGAUUAUCAUGGCCUGGAAAGACGACGAG
Molecule: ribosomal RNA, 243 nt
Filed under: Triticum aestivum (bread wheat)
Lineage: Eukaryota; Viridiplantae; Streptophyta; Magnoliopsida; Poales; Poaceae
Description: partial small subunit ribosomal RNA
Source: RNAcentral